Molecule: small RNA, 215 nt
Filed under: Rhizobium sp. RU36D
Lineage: Bacteria; Pseudomonadati; Pseudomonadota; Alphaproteobacteria; Hyphomicrobiales; Rhizobiaceae
Description: Rhizobiales sRNA Atu_C9
Rfam family: Rhizobiales sRNA Atu_C9
Source: Rfam by way of RNAcentral
CGUCAACGCAAGGAGGCAGAUAUGGGACUAACGCAUUCUUUGAAUGUCCUGAUCGUCGGUGCAGCGUUUGUGUUCAUUGGCGCUAUGCUCUUCAUCUGAGACAUAAGCGGCAUCAUCAGGCAGAACAGCUGGUAAAGAUCGCAUAUCCCUAAAGUCGCCUUUGAGGCACGGGUUCAAAACAUAAGGCGCAUGGACCAGAGCGGUUCAUGCGCCUU